AGGAGAUUUGGUGAUGGUGAGAGAUUUUUGAAUGUUGGAGAUAGAAGAUCAAUUCCAGUUCUAGCUUUAAGAAUUAUCAAGCUUGUAUUCGAGUCUCAUUACAUUAUUUUAAAUGAAUGUCAUUACUAUCCUAGUUUUCUUUUGAACGUUAUUUCUGUAGACCUUUUGGCCAAGUCAAAUUAUGAAAUAUCAAUAAAAUUUUUUUUAUGAUAUUAUUUUGAAUGGUGUUAUAAUAAUACGUGGACGGUUAAACAAUGGUAUCUAUAUUGUA
This 271-nucleotide long non-coding RNA is filed under the name Elaeis guineensis (African oil palm). RNAcentral's name for it is "long non-coding RNA (EGUI_LNC014387)". The record is from RNAcentral. Lineage: Eukaryota; Viridiplantae; Streptophyta; Magnoliopsida; Arecales; Arecaceae.